This 1227-nucleotide ribosomal RNA is filed under the name alkali sediment metagenome. RNAcentral describes it as "bacterial SSU rRNA". It matches the Rfam family "Archaeal small subunit ribosomal RNA", at positions 1 to 1235 of the family's 1478-position model. The record is from RNAcentral.
UCUGGUUGAUCCUGCCAGAGGUUACUGCUAUCGAGGUUCGACUAAGCCAUGCGAGUCGAAUGUAGCAAUACAUGGCGUACUGCUCAGUAACACGUGGACAACCUACCCUUAGGCCUGGGAUAACCCCGGGAAACUGGGAAUAAUACCGGAUAUGGCGCGAAUGCUGGAAUGCGUCGCGCCAGAAAGCUCCGGCGCCUAAGGAUGGGUCUGCGGCCUAUCAGGUAGUAGUGGGUGUAGCGUACCUACUAGCCUACGACGGGUACGGGUUGUGAGAGCAAGAGCCCGGAGAUGGAUUCUGAGACACGAAUCCAGGCCCUACGGGGUGCAGCAGGCGCGAAAACUUUACAAUGCUGGAAACAGCGAUAAGGGGACCUCGAGUGCCAGGUUACAAAUCUGGCUGUCGUGAUGCCUAAAAAGCAUUGCAUAGCAAGGGCCGGGCAAGACCGGUGCCAGCCGCCGCGGUAACACCGGCGGCUCGAGUGGUAACCGCUAUUAUUGGGUCUAAAGGGUCUGUAGCCGGCUGGAUAAGUCUCUUGGGAAAUCCGGCAGCUUAACUGUCGGGCUUUCAGGAGAUACUGUCUGGCUCGAGACCGGGAGAGGUGAGAGGUACUUCAGGGGUAGGGGUGAAAUCUUGUAAUCCUUGAAGGACCACCAGUGGCGAAGGCGUCUCACCAGAACGGACCUGACGGCAAGGGACGAAAGCUAGGGGCACGAACCGGAUUAGAUACCCGGGUAGUCCUAGCCGUAAACGAUACUCGCUAGGUGUCGGCCACGGUGCGACCGUGGUCGGUGCCGUAGGGAAGCCGUGAAGCGAGCCACCUGGGAAGUACGGCCGCAAGGCUGAAACUUAAAGGAAUUGGCGGGGGAGCACUACAACGGGUGGAGCUUGCGGUUUAAUUGGAUUCAACGCCGGAAAUCUCACCGGGACCGACAGCGAUAUGAAGGCCAGGCUGAAGACCUUGCCGGAUUAGCUGAGAGGUGGUGCAUGGCCGUCGUCAGUUCGUACUGUGAAGCAUCCUGUUAAGUCAGGCAACGAGCGAGACCCACGCCCACAGUUGCCAGCGUACUCUCCGGAGUGACGGGUACACUGUGGGGACCGCCGCUGCUAAAGCGGAGGAAGGAAUGGGCAACGGUAGGUCAGUAUGCCCCGAAUAUCCCGGGCUACACGCGAGCUACAAUGGUUGGUACAAUGGGUAUCUACCCCGAAAGGGGAUGGAAAUCUCCUAA